CAGCCCUUGCUGGACAGACAACGGAUCUGCAGAAACAUUGCUGUUGAUGGUGAAUACCUCAGUUACGCGGAUAAUGGAAGUGGUGAUGUCGGGCUGUUUGUGGACAAGGAACGCGUAUGUAAAGGACGAUACUUUGAAGUAGAGAUAUUAAGCUUGGGCCAACGUGGUACUAUUGCUAUAGGUGUGGUACCAUCUGAGUAUCCAGAAAAUCAUCAGCCCGGAUGGGGAAAAUAUUCUAUAGGAUAUCAUGCAGACGACGGCUUGUUGUAUGAUGGAAGUGGUUCUGGGAAGAAAUUUGGACCAAAGUGCAAUGUUGGUGACAGGAUAGGCUGCGGGAUAACUGAUGUUUU
Long non-coding RNA from Mercenaria mercenaria, 350 nucleotides. RefSeq lists it as uncharacterized. NCBI's taxonomy places the organism in Eukaryota, Metazoa, Mollusca, Bivalvia, Venerida, Veneridae. The transcript is spliced from 4 exons. The record is from RefSeq and is a predicted model, not a curated record.